CACCAUAUAUAAAAAAUAAAAAUAAUGUGUUUAAUGAGUUUAUAUUAACAAAGAGUCAUUCCAUAAAACACAUCCUUCUCCUUUUUUUCGAGUAAUGCAACACAAUUACACCAUCCUUAUAUAGAUACAACCAUUAGCAUCAAAGAAUAUAAUAUUGUUGCAAAAGAUUUCCAACCACAUACGAAUACGGCUAGAGAUCAUCAGAACGGUAUUCCUGC
Molecule: long non-coding RNA, 218 nt
Filed under: Elaeis guineensis (African oil palm)
Lineage: Eukaryota; Viridiplantae; Streptophyta; Magnoliopsida; Arecales; Arecaceae
Description: long non-coding RNA (EGUI_LNC013860)
Source: RNAcentral